This is a long non-coding RNA of Neomonachus schauinslandi (Hawaiian monk seal), 212 nucleotides long. RefSeq lists it as uncharacterized. Lineage: Eukaryota; Metazoa; Chordata; Mammalia; Carnivora; Phocidae. The record is from RefSeq and is a predicted model, not a curated record. The transcript has 3 exons.
ACCAGCUCGGGCAUGCGGUCCCAGUGGCCCUCCGCGCGGCAGCGCUCCAGCUCGCUCUCCAUCUUCAGGCCCUGCAGAGUCUCUGAUGAUGGCUUUCAGCUGAGAAUGAAAUCAGAGCUUAAAAUCUACCAUAAGAGGUUUUCUCUGUUCCGCAGGAGGUUUACUUUAAAGAGAGAGAGACACAGAGAGAGAGGGAACACAAGCAGGAGGAG